This 1340-nucleotide long non-coding RNA is filed under the name Malus domestica (apple). RNAcentral's name for it is "long non-coding RNA (MDOM_LNC016367)". The record is from RNAcentral. Lineage: Eukaryota; Viridiplantae; Streptophyta; Magnoliopsida; Rosales; Rosaceae.
CCUUCUACCGUCACGUUGAGCCUUGAAGAUCUCCGUCGUGGGGCUAUGCCCUCGUCUCCACUCUUCGGUCCAUAUCCUUCCACAUAUAGGGUUCCAUUCAUCGUAGUUUCUGAAUUUCCUACCAUUGUAUCCUUUCUCAAAGGAUUGAUCAAGAAACUUUUCUAGGAAAAAUUAAUUGAUAUGACGUGUGAGAAAUUCAACGUAACAAAAUUUCAAGAAACUAAUGCAAGAGGCUUCAUCGAGUGUUUUGAAUCAACUCUUAAUGAAAGCACCAAUUUGUUGAUGCAAAUUUUCGCCGUCUUCAGUCUUGACGAAAAUGCACAUGCAAAACAAUCAACACCUUUGAUCAAAGACACCUCACGUGUGCCUAAGUUAGUUUCUCCAAGAGAGUAAAGUGUUUAGGGCUUUUUUAGGGUUGCCAAAGCUCUUCAAAUUUGGUAGAAUAUGGGGUAUUUAUAAGACUAGGGCCGGCCAUAUAGUGUUAAUGGAGAGAUAUUCUCUAAAUAUUCCCAAGAUAUUAAAUAGGAAAUAAUAUCUGGAGACAAUGGUGUAAUUAGCCCUAAUUAAUUUAAUUUAGGAUUACUUACUUGAUUGGAGUUAAUCUUCAAAUGGGAAUGUAUUAAAGAUUGGAUUUGGGUAAUUAAUCCUUAUCUUUAAUUCCUUGCCAAAGGCAGGUGAGUUGUGGGCAGUUAUGCUCAGCUGCCGAGUCCUCCAAGGAUGUUUGCUGCACGUGGGAGCAUCUGAAAAGCCUGCCAAUUUAUUGAGGGCAAUCUUGUCUUUCCUGAAUAAAAGUCCACGUAUCGCCUCUAGAAUUUUUGGGAUUAUUUUUGGCUCCACAAUCCAUAAUAUAACGAAAUGAUAAUGUGGCCAAUAUUACGAUAAAGUUUGAGGGCUGGUAAUUAUAUAGUAUGUUUGAGCUCUUAGGACUAGCUAGCUAGCAGUGUGCCUAGAAAAUAUGGGCAAGCUAAGUAAGUAGAGCAUAUAAUUAUAUAUCUAAUAUAUAGAAUUAGUCUAUUCGGAGAUUGAUAUUAAUUAACUAAUUAAACAAGAAAUUAAGAUAAAGAUGUGAUUACUUUAAUUGGGAAUAGAGGUUUGGUAGGCCAACAGAUGUGAAGUUUGGAGAAACGUAGAGCAGUAACACUAAUAAUGUAGUACAUGGAGUCAAAAUUAACUUUAAGGUUCCAAUCUAUUUCUGAUUAUUAUUCUUCUCCAUCUAGGGGAAAUAUAUAUAUAUAUAUACUGUAGCCCUUGUGAUACAAGGAUAGUAAAUGAACCUAAUCAAACUAGGAAACAUAAUAAAACCUUUAAUCAAUAAUUACAUUCCUAAUCUAUCAGGAACU